UUGCUAAAAACAACAGGGUGAAGUCAUACAAAGUGCAGCGCACUUACCCUUUCAGAACCACAUAAAGCAUUGGAAAGAUUGCGGUCUGCCUUCCAUACUACUGAAGCUGAUAGACCAAAUAUUUCGUCAUGAUGUAAAAAGAGGAUGUGGUCUGGACACUACUGACAUAGAAGGAGCGCUAACGUGGGACAGCCAGAUUGAUUUCUAGGUACUCAUCAGUUUUACUGUUCUUGAAGAAGUUUGCCAAGAUCAUUGAGGUUCUUGUUUGGACUCCAAGGCAGGUAUUCAGGAAACUACAAAACUUACAUUUUAAGUAACUAUCACAAAUACAACCACAGGAUGGAGGUAAAAUCUGUUCUACCAUAUAUGCACUAUGCUGGA
This is a long non-coding RNA of Herpailurus yagouaroundi (jaguarundi), 381 nucleotides long. RefSeq lists it as uncharacterized. The record is from RefSeq and is a predicted model, not a curated record. NCBI's taxonomy places the organism in Eukaryota, Metazoa, Chordata, Mammalia, Carnivora, Felidae. The transcript has 3 exons.